AUGUACCGGGGCUAAACAUAUUACCGAAACUGUGGAUGAACCUCUUUAGAGGUUCGUGGUAGGAGAGCGUUCUAAGGGCGGUGAAGUCAGACCGGAAGGACUGGUGGAGCGCUUAGAAGUGAGAAUGCCGGUAUGAGUAGCGAAAGAAGGGUGAGAAUCCCUUCCACCGAAUAUCUAAGGUUUCCUGAGGAAGGCUCGUCCGCUCAGGGUUAGUCGGGACCUAAGCCGAGGCCGAUAGGCGUAGGCGAUGGACAACAGGUAGAGAUUCCUGUACCAGUGCUAAUUGUUUAACCGAUGGGGUGACACAGAAGGAUAGGGAAUCGCACGAAUGGAAAUGUGCGUCCAAGCAGUGAGUGUGAGAA
RNAcentral lists this ribosomal RNA (362 nucleotides) under Listeria monocytogenes. RNAcentral's name for it is "partial 23S ribosomal RNA". It matches the Rfam family "Bacterial large subunit ribosomal RNA", at positions 1170 to 1531 of the family's 2925-position model. Lineage: Bacteria; Bacillati; Bacillota; Bacilli; Caryophanales; Listeriaceae. The record is from RNAcentral.